CAGAUUGAUCACAUUCCAAAAUCUGGCCCUCUCGUUUUCCUUAACAUGAUCAAAGAAGUUAAGAUUUCAGCUUUAAUUUUUCAUGUGUAAUAAGUAGAAAUAAUAAUUUAUAAAGUAGUCCGGAUUUUACAGACUCAUUUUGGCUUAGGAGACGUGGGCGAUCUCAAUCACACCCACCGCCAAGUGCACAGCCUUCCUGCUCUGCAGAUCUCAGAAGUGCCUGCCCUCGCCUGCUCACUGUCCUCUUCAUCCCUGCUGGUGUUGGCGCAAAGCCACAGCGCCCCUGUUGUCCGUGGCAGAGAAGGCUGUCUGGGAAGGAGGAGCACAGUCUGGCUAGGCUGUCACCUAGAAAUGCAUGCGUGGAGAUGCUGGGAC
Molecule: long non-coding RNA, 375 nt
Filed under: Fukomys damarensis (Damara mole-rat)
Lineage: Eukaryota; Metazoa; Chordata; Mammalia; Rodentia; Bathyergidae
Description: lncRNA (ENSFDAG00000033098.1)
Source: RNAcentral